GGAGGGUGCAAGCGUUAUCCGGAUUUAUUGGGUUUAAAGGGUCCGUAGGCGGACUCGUAAGUCAGUGGUGAAAUCUCAUAGCUUAACUAUGAAACUGCCAUUGAUACUGCGGGUCUUGAGUAAGGUAGAGGUAGCUGGAAUAAGUAGUGUAGCGGUGAAAUGCAUAGAUAUUACUUAGAACACCAAUUGCGAAGGCAGGUUACCAUGUCUUAACUGACGCUGAUGGACGAAAGCGUGGGGAGCGAACAGGAUUAGAUACCCUGGUAGUCCACGCCGUAAACGAUGCUAACUCGUUUUUGGGUUUUCGGAUUCAGAGACUAAGCGAAAGUGAUAAGUUAGCCACCUGGGGAGUACGAACGCAAGUUUG
This 367-nucleotide ribosomal RNA is filed under the name uncultured bacterium. Its description in RNAcentral is "bacterial SSU rRNA". It matches the Rfam family "Bacterial small subunit ribosomal RNA", at positions 527 to 896 of the family's 1533-position model. The record is from RNAcentral.